Non-coding RNA from Potamilus streckersoni, 78 nucleotides. The record is from the annotation of a GenBank genome assembly. Lineage: Eukaryota; Metazoa; Mollusca; Bivalvia; Unionida; Unionidae.
GGUACAGUGGCCUAGUGGUUAGAGCGUUCGCAUCGGAUGCGGGAGGUCGCGGGUUCAAGCCCUGGCUGAGACAUAUCA